Molecule: ribosomal RNA, 795 nt
Filed under: uncultured organism
Description: bacterial SSU rRNA
Rfam family: Bacterial small subunit ribosomal RNA
Source: RNAcentral
GACUGAGUGGCAAACGGGUGAGUAACACGUGGAUGACCUACCCUGAAGUGGGGGAUAACCUUGGGAAACCAGGACUAAUCCCGCAUGCGCUUGUUGGUUGUGACCAAUAAGGAAAGAUUUAUUGCUUUAGGAUGGGUCCGCGGGCCAUCAGCUAGUUGGUGAGGUAAAGGCUCACCAAGGCAACGACGGCUAGCCGGCCUGAGAGGGUGAACGGCCACAGGGGUACUGAGACACGGACCCCACUCCUACGGGAGGCAGCAGUUAGGAAUCUUCCACAAUGGGCGAAAGCCUGAUGGAGCAAGACCGCGUGAGGGAGGAAGGCUCUUGGGUUGUAAACCUCUUUUCUCAGGGAAGAAGCUCUGACGGUACCUGAGGAAUCAGCCUCGGCUAACUCCGUGCCAGCAGCCGCGGUAAUACGGAGGAGGCAAGCGUUAUCCGGAAUUAUUGGGCGUAAAGCGUCCGCAGGUGGCGAUUCAAGUCUGCUGUCAAAGCACGGGGCUUAACUCCGUUAAGGCAGUGGAAACUGAAUAGCUAGAGUGCCGUAGGGGUAGAGGGAAUUCCCGGUGUAGCGGUGAAAUGCGUAGAGAUCGGGAAGAACAUCGGUGGCGAAAGCGCUCUACUGGACGGCAACUGACACUCAGGGACGAAAGCUAGGGGAGCGAAUGGGAUUAGAUACCCCAGUAGUCCUAGCUGUAAACGAUGGAUACUAGGUGUAGCUUGUAUCGACCCGAGCUGUGCCGAAGCUAACGCGUUAAGUAUCCCGNCUGGGGAGUACGCACGCAAGUGUGAAACUCA